RNAcentral lists this transfer RNA (72 nucleotides) under Klebsiella aerogenes. RNAcentral's name for it is "tRNA-Met". It matches the Rfam family "tRNA". Rfam says of the family: Transfer RNA (tRNA) molecules are approximately 80 nucleotides in length. Their secondary structure includes four short double-helical elements and three loops (D, anti-codon, and T loops). Further hydrogen bonds mediate the characteristic L-shaped molecular structure. tRNAs have two regions of fundamental functional importance: the anti-codon, which is responsible for specific mRNA codon recognition, and the 3' end, to which the tRNAs corresponding amino acid is attached (by aminoacyl-tRNA synthetases). tRNAs cope with the degeneracy of the genetic code in two manners: having more than one tRNA (with a specific anti-codon) for a particular amino acid; and 'wobble' base-pairing, i.e. permitting non-standard base-pairing at the 3rd anti-codon position. Lineage: Bacteria; Pseudomonadati; Pseudomonadota; Gammaproteobacteria; Enterobacterales; Enterobacteriaceae. The record is from RNAcentral.
GCGGGGUGGAGCAGCCUGGUAGCUCGUCGGGCUCAUAACCCGAAGGUCGUCGGUUCAAAUCCGGCCCCCGAC